UAUCACUUGUCAGACGCAAGUUUGGCACCAGCCACAGAAAGGAGCUACAGAUGGUAAGACUUAGCAGAGGCAACAGCGCGAGGGUCCUGGUGAGCAGGACUGGUCGGCAUGGGGGUGGGAGAAGAUAAAAGGACCGAGAAAGCAACAACGGGCCAGCAACCUGACCAAGCUCUGUUCACCCUCCCCUGCCCCAUCAUCACCCCUCUCCUGCCAGCGUGAGCGACUUGGAAUUCCCACAGGUCAGGAGCUCUUCUCCGUGCUGGAAGACUGCAAGGCCCAGAAUGACCCCAGCCUCUCUCUCUCCUCCUUCCUCUGCUCCACCUUUACCCUUGCUCGCAGUAGCAAGUCCCAGUCCAUCUUUGAGGGAAGUCAGGGUAGGAACUGAAGCAGGAACAUAGAAGAAAUCUGCUCAUUGGCUUGCUCUUUGGCUUAUGCUCAGCUGCCUAAGGACGGUGCUGCCCACAGAGGGCUGGGUCUCCCCACAUCAAUGAUCAACUAAGACAAUCCCUCACAGACACAGCCAGUCUGAUUCAGGAAAUUCUUCAGUUGAGGUGCCCUCUUCCCAAGUGGCUCUAGGUUGUGUUGGUUGACAAUAAAAACUAACAAGGGGAGUCUGGUACCUUCA
Molecule: long non-coding RNA, 625 nt
Organism: Peromyscus californicus insignis
Lineage: Eukaryota; Metazoa; Chordata; Mammalia; Rodentia; Cricetidae
Exons: 2
Source: RefSeq, a predicted model, not a curated record